CCUACGGGAGGCUGCAGUGGGGAAUAUUGCACAAUGGGGGAAACUCUGAUGCAGCAACGCCGCGUGAGUGAUGACGGCCUUCUGGUUGUAAAGCUCUGUCUUCAGGGACGUUAAUCUCGGUACCUGAGUACGACUCCACGGCUAACUCCGUUCCAGCUGCAGCGGUACUACGUAGGCGGCGGGCGUUGUCCGGAUUUACUGGGCGUAAAGGGUGCGUAGGCGGACUUUUAAGUGAGAUGUGAAAUGCUCGGGCUCAACUUGGGAACUGCAUUUCAAACUGGAAGUCUAGAGUGCAGGAGAGGAGAAUGGAAUGCAUAGUGUAGCGGUGAAAUGCGUAGAGAUUAGGAAGAACACCAGUGGCGAAGGCGAUUCACUGGACUGUAACUGACGCUGAGGCUCGAAAGCGUGGGGAGCAAACAGGAUUAGAUACCCCUGUAGUC
RNAcentral lists this ribosomal RNA (440 nucleotides) under uncultured bacterium. RNAcentral's name for it is "partial 16S ribosomal RNA". It matches the Rfam family "Bacterial small subunit ribosomal RNA", at positions 338 to 795 of the family's 1533-position model. The record is from RNAcentral.